GACGAACGCUGGCGGCGUGCUUAACACAUGUAAGUCGAACGGAAAGGCCCUGCUUUUGUGGGGUGCUCGAGUGGCGAACGGGUGAGUAACACGUGAGUAACCUGCCCUUGACUUUGGGAUAACUUCAGGAAACUGGGGCUAAUACCGGAUAGGAGCUCCUGCUGCAUGGUGGGGGUUGGAAAGUUUCGGCGGUUGGGGAUGGACUCGCGGCUUAUCAGCUUGUUGGUGGGGUAGUGGCUUACCAAGGCUUUGACGGGUAGCCGGCCUGAGAGGGUGACCGGCCACAUUGGGACUGAGAUACGGCCCAGACUCCUACGGGAGGCAGCAGUGGGGAAUAUUGCACAAUGGGCGGAAGCCUGAUGCAGCAACGCCGCGUGCGGGAUGACGGCCUUCGGGUUGUAAACCGCUUUCGCCUGUGACGAAGCGUGAGUGACGGUAAUGGGUAAAGAGGCACCGGCUAACUACGUG
This 468-nucleotide ribosomal RNA is filed under the name uncultured bacterium. Its description in RNAcentral is "partial 16S ribosomal RNA". It matches the Rfam family "Bacterial small subunit ribosomal RNA", at positions 28 to 507 of the family's 1533-position model. The record is from RNAcentral.